AACAAACGCUGGCGGCGUGCCUAACACAUGCAAGUCGAACGAGAAAUCCCGAGCUUGCUUGGGAGAGUAAAGUGGCGCACGGGUGAGUAACGCGUGGGUAACCUACCUUUGAAUCUGGAAUAACCAGCCGAAAGGCUGACUAAUACCGGAUAUGGUUUUUAGGACUUAGGUUCUCUAAAUUAAAGGUGACCUCUUCAUGAAAGUUGCCGUUCAUAGAUGGGCCCGCGUACCAUUAGCUAGUUGGUGGGGUAAUGGCCUACCAAGGCGACGAUGGUUAGCUGGUCUGAGAGGAUGAUCAGCCACACUGGAACUGGAACACGGUCCAGACUCCUACGGGAGGCAGCAGUGAGGAAUUUUGCGCAAUGGGGGAAACCCUGACGCAGCAACGCCGCGUGAGCGAAGAAGGCCCUCGGGUCGUAAAGCUCUGUCAAGUGGGAAAAAAAUCUUUUGAUCAAUAGUCAAAAGACUUGA
This 471-nucleotide ribosomal RNA is filed under the name uncultured Desulfobacterium sp. RNAcentral describes it as "bacterial SSU rRNA". It matches the Rfam family "Bacterial small subunit ribosomal RNA", at positions 29 to 472 of the family's 1533-position model. Lineage: Bacteria; Pseudomonadati; Thermodesulfobacteriota; Desulfobacteria; Desulfobacterales; Desulfobacteriaceae. The record is from RNAcentral.